CCUAGGAAGCUGAAAUUGCAAGAAUUCGACUAUUAUGGCUUAUAAUCGACUAUAUUGAUGUCGUUUCGGUAUUGUUCGCAGCGAGAGGGUAUUUGACCCUUGGACCGCCUUCGUGUGGCAUUGGAGGGCCUUCUGGAAGCUUAACGUGAGGUAAUGAACUGAGCCAAAACAGGAAUUUAAGCUAUUCCUACGUACUAAGUGCAAUUGCGCCGAUAUUGGACAUGUCGAUCGUAAUUUUGAUACGAUAUUUGUGCUUCGUGUUCAGCAGGAUUGAGACCUAGUAGAGCUGAUCCUUGGGAUUCCUUUGGACUGAUUUGAGCUUAGUACGAGGUGGGUCGGACCUAACCAGAGC
This 352-nucleotide long non-coding RNA is filed under the name Ananas comosus (pineapple). RNAcentral describes it as "long non-coding RNA (ACOM_LNC000811)". The record is from RNAcentral. Lineage: Eukaryota; Viridiplantae; Streptophyta; Magnoliopsida; Poales; Bromeliaceae.